This 253-nucleotide ribosomal RNA is filed under the name uncultured bacterium. Its description in RNAcentral is "partial 16S ribosomal RNA". It matches the Rfam family "Bacterial small subunit ribosomal RNA", at positions 524 to 776 of the family's 1533-position model. The record is from RNAcentral.
UACGGAGGGUGCAAGCGUUAUCCGGAUUCACUGGGUUUAAAGGGUGCGUAGGCGGGUUGGUAAGUCAGUGGUGAAAGCCCCAAGCUCAACUUGGGAACUGCCAUUGAUACUGCCAGUCUUGAGUGUGGUUGAAGUGGGCGGAAUAUGACAUGUAGCGGUGAAAUGCUUAGAUAUGUCAUAGAACACCGAUUGCGAAGGCAGCUCACUAAACCAUUACUGACGCUGAGGCACGAAAGCGUGGGGAGCGAACAGG